This 77-nucleotide transfer RNA is filed under the name Brachyspira pilosicoli B2904. RNAcentral's name for it is "tRNA-Met". It matches the Rfam family "tRNA". From Rfam's summary of the family: Transfer RNA (tRNA) molecules are approximately 80 nucleotides in length. Their secondary structure includes four short double-helical elements and three loops (D, anti-codon, and T loops). Lineage: Bacteria; Pseudomonadati; Spirochaetota; Spirochaetia; Brachyspirales; Brachyspiraceae. RNAcentral also lists the same sequence under 1 other name. The record is from RNAcentral.
GGGCCAGUAGCUCAGUCGGUUAGAGCAGAUGACUCAUAAUCAUCGGGUCCGGGGUUCAAGUCCCUGCUGGCCCACUU